GGGGGAAAAUUAAUAAAAUAAAAUUAAUAAAAAAAAUUUUUAAGUUAAAAAUAAAUAAUGGGGGUUAAAGUAUUUUUAAUAGAAAAAAUUUAAAGAUUUAUAGUGAAUUAAGUAUUGUAGGGGAAAUUUGAAAUAGUUUAAAAAUUAAUUAUAUAGAAAGAAAAUUUAAUUUAUUGUAUCUUGUGUAUCAGAGUUUAUUUAAUAAAAUUUUUGAAGAAAAAAAUCUCGAAUUUAAAAGAAUUAAUUAAUUAUAAAAGUUAAUGUAACAUAAUUAUUUUAAAUAAUUAAUUAGAAAUGAAAUGUUAAUCGUUUUUAAAUAUAUCUAGUUAUUUUAGAAAAAAAUUUAAUUUUAAAUUUAAAUAAUUUUAAAAUUUAAUGUAAAAAUUAUAAAAAAUUUAAAUUUAAUAUUUUAAGGGAUAAGCUUUAAAUUAAAAAUUUAUAAUAAAAAUAUAUAAAAAUUAAGAUUUUUAAAAUUUAUAUUGUUUAAAAAUUAAAAUUUAUUAUAAAAAAUUUUAAUGAAAAAUAAAAUUUAAUACAGAAAAAAUUUAAAUUUUUAUAAAAUAAUAAUUUUUAACGGGGGGAAAUUAGUAAUAAUGAUAAAAUUAGUAUAAAUAAUAAAUAUAAGAAUUAAAUAAAGAUUAAAGUUAGUUAAAAGGAAUUCGGCAAAAUAAAUAUUCACUUGUUUAUCAAAAACAUGUCUUUUUGAAUUAUAAUUUAAAGUCUAAUCUGCCCACUGAUAAAUAUUGAAGGGCUGCAGUAUAUUGACUGUACAAAGGUAGCAUAAUCAUUAGUUUUUUAAUUGAAAACUUGUAUGAAGGAUUUGAUGAAAUAUGAACUGUCUCUUACUUAUUAUUAAAAAUUUAUUUUUUAGUUAAAAAGCUAAAAUAAUUUUAAAAGACGAGAAGACCCUAUAGAGUUUUAUAAUUUAUUUAUUAUUAAAAUUAUGUAAAAAUUAAAAUUAAUAUUAAAUAAAUUAUUAUAUUGGGGUGAUAGGAAAAUUGACUUAACUUUUUUUAAAAGUUAACCAUUAAUAAAUGAAUAAAUGAUCCAUUAAUAAUGAUUAUAAGAAAAAAUUACCUUAGGGAUAACAGCGUAAUAUUUUUUUUUAGUUCAAAUAAAAAAAAAAGUUUGCGACCUCGAUGUUGGAUUAAGAUAAAAUUUAAAUGCAAACGUUUAAAAUUUUGAUCUGUUCGAUCAUUAAAAUCUUACAUGAUCUGAGUUCAAACCGGUGUAAGCCAGGUUGGUUUCUAUCUUUAAAUAAAAAAAAUAUUUUAGUACGAAAGGAUCAAAUAUUUAAAAUAAUUUUAUUAUGGGGAUAUUAUUAAUUAAAGUAUAAAAUUA
Molecule: ribosomal RNA, 1341 nt
Filed under: Lethe titania
Lineage: Eukaryota; Metazoa; Arthropoda; Insecta; Lepidoptera; Nymphalidae
Description: 16S ribosomal RNA
Source: RNAcentral